This 22-nucleotide microRNA is filed under the name Magallana gigas (Pacific oyster). RNAcentral describes it as "Mgi-Mir-2-P12_5p* (star (passenger))". The record is from RNAcentral. Lineage: Eukaryota; Metazoa; Mollusca; Bivalvia; Ostreida; Ostreidae.
CUGACUAAGUGGCUGUGAUGUA